This 772-nucleotide ribosomal RNA is filed under the name uncultured Neocallimastigales. RNAcentral's name for it is "partial large subunit ribosomal RNA". The stretch from base 4 to 661 matches the Rfam family "Eukaryotic large subunit ribosomal RNA", at positions 24 to 664 of the family's 3401-position model. Lineage: Eukaryota; Fungi; Neocallimastigomycota; Neocallimastigomycetes; Neocallimastigales. The record is from RNAcentral.
UCAGACGAUGCGUCAUGCAUAUCAAUAAGCGGAGGAAAAGAAACUAACAAGGAUUCCCUCAGUAACGGCGAGUGAAGCGGGAAGAGCUCAAAUUUGAAAUCUUGAAAGGUCACCUUUCACGAAUUGUAGUUUAAAGAAGUGUUUUCUGUUACGAUCGUAAUAUAAGUUCUUUGGAAUAGGACAUCACAGAGGGUGAGAAUCCCGUCUAUGAUUGCGAUUUGUAGCUUUGUGAUACACUUUCAAAGAGUCGGGUUGUUUGGGAAUGCAGCCAAAAACGGGAGGUAAAUUUCUUCUAAGGCUAAAUAUUGGCGAGAGACCGAUAGCGAACAAGUACCGUGAGGGAAAGAUGAAAAGAACUUUGAAAAGAGAGUUAAAUAGUACGUGAAAUUGUCAAAAGGGAAGCGUUUAACACCAGUGUUGUUUUCUGAAAAUCAACCUCUGUUAGCUUUAUGCAUGUUUGUUUAGACCUAAUCAGCUAUCUUGCAUGUUCUAUUGUUUGCAGUGGUGCACUUCUCAGUUUACAGGUCAACAUCAGUUUUUUUUACCGUAAAAAAGUUAAAGAAAGGUAGCUCAUGGCUCCGGUCGUGAGUGUUAUAGUCUUUUUCCUAUGCGGUAGGAGAGACUGAGGUCUGCAGUGUAGGCUAUUUGGCUAGAUACUCAGGUGCUAUGUGAUACCAUUUCAUAAACAACUUGUUGAUUAUGCUUUUGUCUAUUGCAUACUCGCUUGUACUAUCAUACCUACGCUUAGGAUGUUGAAGACUCUACAGAGAUA